RNAcentral lists this ribosomal RNA (332 nucleotides) under uncultured Bacillota bacterium. Its description in RNAcentral is "bacterial SSU rRNA". It matches the Rfam family "Bacterial small subunit ribosomal RNA", at positions 28 to 351 of the family's 1533-position model. Lineage: Bacteria; Bacillati; Bacillota. The record is from RNAcentral.
GACGAACGCUGGCGGCGUGCCUAACACAUGCAAGUCGAACGGAGUGAUUUGAAAGCUUGCUUUUGAAUCACUUAGUGGCGGACGGGUGAGUAACGCGUGAGUAACCUGCCUUUCAGAGGGGGAUAACAUCCUGAAAAGGAUGCUAAUACCGCAUGACAUAUCGAGGCCGCAUGGUCUUGGUAUCAAAGGAGCAAUCCGCUGAGAGAUGGACUCGCGUCCGAUUAGCCAGUUGGCGGGGUAACGGCCCACCAAAGCGACGAUCGGUAGCCGGACUGAGAGGUUGAACGGCCACAUUGGGACUGAGACACGGCCCAGACUCCUACGGGAGGCUG